GAUGAACGCUGGCGGCGUGCCUAAUACAUGCAAGUCGAGCGAACGGACGAGAAGCUUGCUUUUCUGAUGUUAACGGCGGACGGGUGAGUAACACGUGGAUAACCUACCUAUAAGACUGGGAUAACUUCGGGAAACCGGAGCUAAUACCGGAUAAUAUUUUGAACCGCAUGGUUCAAAAGUGAAAGACGGUCUUGCUGUCACUUAUAGAUGGAUCCGCGCUGCAUUAGCUAGUUGGUAAGGUAACGGCUUACCAAGGCAACGAUGCAUAGCCGACCUGAGAGGGUGAUCGGCCACACUGGAACUGAGACACGGUCCAGACUCCUACGGGAGGCAGCAGUAGGGAAUCUUCCGCAAUGGGCGAAAGCCUGACGGAGCAACGCCGCGUGAGUGAUGAAGGUCUUCGGAUCGUAAAACUCUGUUAUUAGGGAAGAACAUAUGUGUAAGUAACUGUGCACAUCUUGACGGUACCUAAUCAGAAAGCCACGGCUAACUACGUG
RNAcentral lists this ribosomal RNA (497 nucleotides) under uncultured bacterium. Its description in RNAcentral is "partial 16S ribosomal RNA". It matches the Rfam family "Bacterial small subunit ribosomal RNA", at positions 28 to 507 of the family's 1533-position model. The record is from RNAcentral.